RNAcentral lists this transfer RNA (77 nucleotides) under Actinomadura litoris. It matches the Rfam family "tRNA". Rfam says of the family: Transfer RNA (tRNA) molecules are approximately 80 nucleotides in length. RNAcentral also lists the same sequence under 1 other name. The record is from Rfam by way of RNAcentral. Lineage: Bacteria; Bacillati; Actinomycetota; Actinomycetes; Streptosporangiales; Thermomonosporaceae.
GCCCCGGUAGCCCAAUCAGGUAGCCAGGCAGCGGACUUAAAAUCCGUCAAGUGUGGGUUCGACUCCCACCCGGGGUA